GCCCCGAGAUGAGUUCUCCCUGAGACUAUAAGUCUCCUGAAGGAACGUUAAAGACGAUGACGUUGAUAGGCCGGGUGUGUAAGCGCAGCGAUGCGUUGAGCUAACCGGUACUAAUGAACCGUGAGGCUUAACCUUAC
Molecule: ribosomal RNA, 137 nt
Filed under: Klebsiella pneumoniae subsp. pneumoniae KPNIH12
Lineage: Bacteria; Pseudomonadati; Pseudomonadota; Gammaproteobacteria; Enterobacterales; Enterobacteriaceae
Description: partial 23S ribosomal RNA
Rfam family: Bacterial large subunit ribosomal RNA
Source: RNAcentral